Serinus canaria (Common canary) is the source of this 431-nucleotide long non-coding RNA. The record is from Ensembl. Lineage: Eukaryota; Metazoa; Chordata; Aves; Passeriformes; Fringillidae.
AAACCCCGGGAUUCAACUGCAAAUUGAAAUGUUAGUGAGAGGAACUGAUGAAACCUGCUCAACUUAAUCAAGGAAUGUUUCACCUCGAUGGAGAUGUGACUAAGCCUGUCUUGUGAACAUUCAUUUGUUGUUAUUGUUCACCUCUGAUCCCAGUGUGAGAUCUACUGUGGAGCAGCCAAGAAUAGCACUGCUUUCCAUGCUCCCACUGCUGCCAGCUCCUCCUCUCCUCUGGCUCCUGUGACACAAGAUGAAGUUAGACGUGCCAGUGACAGCAUGCAUCAGUCAGGCACAGUAAGGUAUGUGCUGGGGAUGCUGCUGACAAGAUGGAUAUUCUUGGCAGGCUCCAUGACAUUUCUCCUUGCCCUUUGCUGAAGAAAGGAGGUCACUGGAACACCAUCAGGGCUUCAGGCAUCAACCUGGAUGCACAGCAU